CUCUCCUUCAUGAACAGAUCCAAAAGCAAACAUGUCUUUAAUAGCCAUCAUUAUUUGGACGCUCGCAACCUGCACCUGGAGUUCUGUGGGGCAGAUUCUGACUCAAUCUGAAGAUCAAACAGUGAAUCCUGAUCAAACUGUCACUAUUCACUGCAAUCAUAAACCAGCAGUAUACUGUAUUAAACCAAAUACCACUCUGUAUUGCAUGUCCUGGUUCCAUCAGAUUCCUGGAGAAGCUCCUAAACUCCUGAUCUCCUCCACAUCAGAGAGAGCUUCAGGUGUUUCUUCUAGAUUCAGUGGCAGUGAAAGUGGAAACCACAUGGAUUUUACUCUGACCAUCAGUGGAGUCCAGCCUGAAGAUUUAGGAGUUUAUUACUGUCAGAGUUAACAUGGUAUUAAGAAUGACGCAGGGAAUCUAUACUGGGUGUUCACACAGUGUAAAAGCAUCGUACAAAAACCUCUUUGUGUGAGACUGCAGCGCUGCAGCUUCGAGCUUCUGCAGAUGUUGAUGUUGAUGUUGAAGAUCAUCAUUCACCUCACUGACUCACUGUUGAUAAAGAAAAGCUCAUGGCCAAUGAAAUGAAAAUGAAUUUCACAUAUUAGCUAAUUUCCCAUUCUAGUUAAUUUUC
Molecule: non-coding RNA, 629 nt
Organism: Cyprinus carpio (common carp)
Lineage: Eukaryota; Metazoa; Chordata; Actinopteri; Cypriniformes; Cyprinidae
Source: the annotation of a RefSeq genome assembly